Molecule: ribosomal RNA, 253 nt
Filed under: uncultured bacterium
Lineage: Bacteria
Description: partial 16S ribosomal RNA
Rfam family: Bacterial small subunit ribosomal RNA
Source: RNAcentral
UACAGAGGUCUCAAGCGUUGUUCGGAUUCAUUGGGCGUAAAGGGUGCGUAGGCGGCGCGGUAAGUCGGGUGUGAAAUCUCGGAGCUUAACUCCGAAACUGCAUUCGAUACUGCCGUGCUUGAGGACUGGAGAGGAGACUGGAAUUUACGGUGUAGCGGUGAAAUGCGUAGAUAUCGUAAGGAAGACCAGUGGCGAAGGCGGGCCUCUGGACAGUUCCUGACGCUGAGGCACGAAGGUCAGGGGAGCAAACGGG